CGCGGGAGCUUCGUCCUGAGGAGGGUUGGUUGUCGCCCGAGUGCCGGCUCCUGCGCAACAAUGGGUUUUCGAGCUCCUGGGAUUCGUGAGUCGCCGCCUCGCUGCGCCCAGGUUCUUGUGAGAAAACGUGAAGGUAGCUGAAUCCAGGCCAGAGAUCAGGAAGAUUUUGACUAACAUUUGCUCAAGAUUCAUUCCUCCCCCGCACAAGCUGAAGAAAUGGAAACUGAGAGAGAUUAAGAAGUGUGUUCAGAUUCACACAGCUGGUAAGGAACCUGAGGCUCGACGAAGUGAUACAAUUUGGCUGAAGACCUAGUAGACAAUAGAGUCAAGACUGGAUCUCAGACCUGAUUCCAAGAUAGAAGCUGUGAACUGGCUUUUGGAAAUGGGCAGGCAAUACCAAACAAUGACUCACUUCUGUCCAGUUACUGACUUCCCAGGAAAUGGUGCCCAGUCUGGAAGCUGAGAUUGUACUACUUUAUUGCUCUACACAAACCAAGCCUUCAUCUGGCCUUAAGGCUCAAAGGAAGACUGUACAGAUAUUGUUCUCCAGUCCUACCUGUAAAACAAAGAUGAAAACACUUAUUCUGUGUCUCAAGGAACUCUACUAGCCUGUGAAGGAGACAGACAUACACACAGAUGAGAAGACUGAGACCAAGAGGCUAAAUGCUGCACCAAGGCCAGGAGGAAGUGCUGAAGCCUUGAUUCAGAUUGAAAACAAUAAGGACUGAGAGAGCUAAUGUAAGUGAAAACUACAGUGGUAAGAAUGAAUGCUGAUUAGGGACCAGAUGGCAAAACUAAGAUACAGCAAGAUUAAGUAAUUUGCUCAAGUCAUGUGGCUGAAGAGUGGCAGGGCGCGGAUUUCAAUCUAGGAAGGCUAUCUUCAGCUCCUGGACUCAGAGUAAAAUGCCCGACAUAGAAGAGAAACUUGAUAAAGUUACGUUUCUUUUACACCUAUAAAUAUGUAAAGAGAUUUAAAAUAAGAAACUGGUCAACACGUUGUCUGAUGAAGGGAAUUUAAUUUCUAGCUUUUAAAGUCCUAGAUUUUGUGGAGAAUAUUGUAUCUGAAUAUUGGGAAGUAUAGAAUGACCUACUUCAAGCAAAGCAGCUUUAAAUAAGGUCUGUUUUAAAUAGCACACCCUAGAGUAUUCACUACAAAAAUUGCGAGCCAUUUAUCAAAUGAGCUACCUGUGUGUGUGUAUGUGUCCGUGUCUGCACAUGCAUGCAUACGGCCGUAGGGGGAUCUCACCCACUGAUUUGUCCUUUUGACAUUUGGUAAAUAGACUUUCUCUAUUGCUUUUGUCUUUAACACCAGAUUAUUUAGUCUGAACUUGACCCUUGAGCUUGAACAUAAAUCAAGGUUAGUCACAUUUUAGGGGAAAAUAUUUAGGCAUCUGCUGAGACCCUUAUUAGAGUUCUAAUUUUUUGUUAUUUGAUAUUUAUCAUAUGAUACAAAUCCCACAAAGGGAAGAA
This is a non-coding RNA of Vicugna pacos (alpaca), 1470 nucleotides long. Lineage: Eukaryota; Metazoa; Chordata; Mammalia; Artiodactyla; Camelidae. The record is from RefSeq and is a predicted model, not a curated record.